This 103-nucleotide non-coding RNA is filed under the name Bacillus subtilis subsp. subtilis str. 168. Its description in RNAcentral is "guanine riboswitch". It matches the Rfam family "Purine riboswitch aptamer". Rfam says of the family: Riboswitches are metabolite binding domains within certain messenger RNAs that serve as precision sensors for their corresponding targets. Allosteric rearrangement of mRNA structure is mediated by ligand binding, and this results in modulation of gene expression. The record is from RNAcentral. Lineage: Bacteria; Bacillati; Bacillota; Bacilli; Caryophanales; Bacillaceae.
CAUCUUAGAAAAAGACAUUCUUGUAUAUGAUCAGUAAUAUGGUCUGAUUGUUUCUACCUAGUAACCGUAAAAAACUAGACUACAAGAAAGUUUGAAUAAAUUU